RNAcentral lists this ribosomal RNA (467 nucleotides) under uncultured bacterium. RNAcentral's name for it is "partial 16S ribosomal RNA". It matches the Rfam family "Bacterial small subunit ribosomal RNA", at positions 28 to 507 of the family's 1533-position model. The record is from RNAcentral.
GGUGAACGCUGGCGGCGUGCUUAACACAUGCAAGUCGAACGGUGAAGCAGAGCUUGCUCUGUGGAUCAGUGGCGGACGGGUGAGUAACACGUGAGCAACCUGCCCCUGACUCUGGGAUAAGCGCUGGAAACGGCGUCUAAUACUGGAUAUGAGCUGCGACCGCAUGGUCAGCAGUUGGAAAGAUUUUUCGGUCUGGGAUGGGCUCACGGCCUAUCAGCUUGUUGGUGAGGUAAUGGCUCACCAAGGCGUCGACGGGUAGCCGGCCUGAGAGGGUGACCGGCCACACUGGGACUGAGACACGGCCCAGACUCCUACGGGAGGCAGCAGUGGGGAAUAUUGCACAAUGGGCGAAAGCCUGAUGCAGCAACGCCGCGUGAGGGAUGACGGCCUUCGGGUUGUAAACCUCUUUUAGCAGGGAAGAAGCGAAAGUGACGGUACCUGCAGAAAAAGCGCCGGCUAACUACGUG